RNAcentral lists this ribosomal RNA (1370 nucleotides) under uncultured bacterium. RNAcentral describes it as "bacterial SSU rRNA". It matches the Rfam family "Bacterial small subunit ribosomal RNA". The record is from RNAcentral.
AGAGUUUGAUCCUGGCUCAGGACGAACGCUGGCGGCGCGCCUAACACAUGCAAGUCGAACGAGCGAGAGAGAGCUUGCUUUCUCGAGCGAGUGGCGAACGGGUGAGUAACGCGUGAGGAACCUGCCUCAAAGAGGGGGACAACAGUUGGAAACGACUGCUAAUACCGCAUAAGCCCACGGCUCGGCAUCGAGCAGAGGGAAAAGGAGCAAUCCGCUUUGAGAUGGCCUCGCGUCCGAUUAGCUAGUUGGUGAGGUAAUGGCCCACCAAGGCAACGAUCGGUAGCCGGACUGAGAGGUUGAACGGCCACAUUGGGACUGAGACACGGCCCAGACUCCUACGGGAGGCAGCAGUGGGGAAUAUUGCACAAUGGGGGAAACCCUGAUGCAGCGACGCCGCGUGGAGGAAGAAGGUCUUCGGAUUGUAAACUCCUGUUGUUGAGGAAGAUAAUGACGGUACUCAACAAGGAAGUGACGGCUAACUACGUGCCAGCAGCCGCGGUAAAACGUAGGUCACAAGCGUUGUCCGGAAUUACUGGGUGUAAAGGGAGCGCAGGCGGGAAGACAAGUUGGAAGUGAAAUCUAUGGGCUCAACCCAUAAACUGCUUUCAAAACUGUUUUUCUUGAGUAGUGCAGAGGUAGGCGGAAUUCCCGGUGUAGCGGUGGAAUGCGUAGAUAUCGGGAGGAACACCAGUGGCGAAGGCGGCCUACUGGGCACCAACUGACGCUGAGGCUCGAAAGUGUGGGUAGCAAACAGGAUUAGAUACCCUGGUAGUCCACACCGUAAACGAUGAUUACUAGGUGUUGGAGGAUUGACCCCUUCAGUGCCGCAGUUAACACAAUAAGUAAUCCACCUGGGGAGUACGACCGCAAGGUUGAAACUCAAAGGAAUUGACGGGGGCCCGCACAAGCAGUGGAGUAUGUGGUUUAAUUCGACGCAACGCGAAGAACCUUACCAAGUCUUGACAUCCUGCGACGCACAUAGAAAUAUGUGUUUCCUUCGGGACGCAGAGACAGGUGGUGCAUGGUUGUCGUCAGCUCGUGUCGUGAGAUGUUGGGUUAAGUCCCGCAACGAGCGCAACCCUUACUGUCAGUUACUACGCAAGAGGACUCUGGCAGGACUGCCGUUGACAAAACGGAGGAAGGUGGGGAUGACGUCAAAUCAUCAUGCCCUUUAUGACUUGGGCUACACACGUACUACAAUGGCGUUAAACAAAGAGAAGCAAGACCGCGAGGUGGAGCAAAACUCAGAAACAACGUCCCAGUUCGGACUGCAGGCUGCAACUCGCCUGCACGAAGUCGGAAUUGCUAGUAAUCGUGGAUCAGCAUGCCACGGUGAAUACGUUCCCGGGCCUUGCACACACCGCCCGUCA